RNAcentral lists this long non-coding RNA (1544 nucleotides) under Macaca mulatta (Rhesus monkey). RNAcentral's name for it is "lncRNA (ENSMMUG00000054931.1)". Lineage: Eukaryota; Metazoa; Chordata; Mammalia; Primates; Cercopithecidae. The record is from RNAcentral.
AGACUUUGGAGUGUGACAGACCUGGGCCGAAUGCUGCCCUGAGACUUCCCCGCAGUCACUGACCAUGCUGCCGUUCCUAUCUGUUAAAGGGCCAUGAAGACACCUCCCUCCAAGACUGGCACCAGAGGGGAUAUUGCGUGGGCACAGUGUCUCGUGCAGUGACGACGCUGUUUCAGGAUUUCCUUACAGGGUCAAGUCCUUGGCCAGAUCUAGGUGAUCCUGGUAACUUACGGAGAAAAUCAUCUUGGCUGAUGUGGUCAGGCUACGGCAGCCAGUCACACAGAGGAAAGAGGAAAGGCAGAUCUCCAAUGUCACUGAGCAUCUACCACAUGUCAGGCACUACUUCAAAUGCUUGGCACAUGCUAAUUCAUUCAAUCCUCACAAUAACCUAUGAGCAAGCCUUCGUUGCUGUUCCAUCUUAUGGAUGAGGACAAGAGUACCUGGCCAGCUAAGGAACUUGUCCAAAGUCACACUCAAAGCCAGAUGCAAACACAGAAGUCAGAUGCCAGAGCCGUUGCUUGAAGCUCCAUGCCAUCUUGUCUCACAGAACGACCCGGAAAGACAAGCAGAGAGAAAUAAUGAUGGGCAAUGACAGAGCAAGAUUGCAGAUGGGGCUGAGGAUGGGUUCAAGCCCCUAUGGUUCUGGAACCUUUAGGAGGUUCUGGAAGGUUCUAGAGUCUUUCUUCCCUUGGAUUCCUCAAGCAACCUCAGCAUCCUUUUCCAGGUACCAAAGACAAUAUCUCUGUAUCCUUUUGUUGCUUAAGCUCCUUUGAGUUGUACUUUAUUUUUCAUAAAGAAUCUUGACUUAUGCAUCUAUUAAGUGACAGAACUGAGUUUCAAACCCUCAUGUGCCUAAAAUGCAUAGCUGCGUCUCUAAGUUUUCUCACCUGGAAAUGGGACUAUUCUAGUACCUACCCUGCUGGAUUAUUGUGACAGUUGGGUACAUUGAUUCAGUAAAGCUCUGAAAAGAAUGCCUGGCAGCUAAAGGUACUCAGCAUUAUUAUCAAGUUAUUAAAUUAGUGUUAUCAUCAGCUCCAUUUUGCAGAUCAGUACACUGGGACAAAAGAUGUUAUGAACUUUGUCCAAGAUCACUCACCUGGCACCAUUUAUUAGCAAAUGGCAGAGCCAGAAAUUGAAACCAAGCAGUCAUUGGAGCCUCUCGGCUUCACAUCGACCCUGGGAGGGCCCUCAAGAAGUCAUCUGCCCCCUGCCCUUCUGUCCAGAGCUGAGUGGGUGUUCCAGGAGCCUGGGCCAGGCUUCCGGGGCAGAAGGACUCCCACAGCUGGAGCUGGCUCCUUUCCCAGCUUGCUUGGAAUUUAAAGAACCUCAAGAAGGUGGGGCCUUCCAGCUCUGAGCUGCAGCGGCCAGUUCACAGGAGAGCUGGUUGUUUAAGGAGUUCCCCUGUCACCAUGAGACAUGCCUGCUCCAACUUCACCUUCCACCAUGAGUAAAAUCUUCCUAAGUCCUCAUCAGAAGCCAAGAAGAUGCUGGUGCCAUGCUUCCACAGCCUGCAGAAUGAUGAGCCAAAUAAACCUCUUUAUAAA